Molecule: ribosomal RNA, 186 nt
Filed under: uncultured bacterium
Lineage: Bacteria
Description: partial 16S ribosomal RNA
Rfam family: Bacterial small subunit ribosomal RNA
Source: RNAcentral
CAGCAGUAGGGAAUCUUCCACAAUGGGCGAAAGCCUGAUGGAGCAACGCCGCGUGUGUGAUGAAGGGUUUCGGCUCGUAAAACACUGUUGUAUGAGAAGAAUGACAUUGAGAGUAACUGUUCAAUGUGUGACGGUAUCUUACCAGAAAGGAACGGCUAAAUACGUGCCAGCAGCCGCGGUAAUACG